GAAUGCUGUGCAUACACACUGACGUAGACACGAGGGCAUUAGUUGCGGGCUAUAUAACAGAGGCUCAGUUGCAGACCAUAGUAUUCCUGCUCGAAACCCCCGUGCAAUAGAUAGAGAUAGAGGAAAGGGUGUGUGCUGUAGUAAAACAAAGAUGCGUCGUCUUUUAAUCGUGCUGUUGGCCGUCACCUGUCUGUUGGAUGUCAGUCUCGGCAGCCCGAUCUAUCUCGAGGCCAAUAGCAGACAUAAGAAUCCUUAUUUUUCAUUAUAUCACCAGGGUUAUUAUCCUCAUCACGAUCCACGGUACUAUUAUUUUGCACCGCAGCCAGGAUACCACUACCUUCAGCGUCGACACUCGAGCUGGCCGAGACCCUACGUAUUCGAUGAUUUCCUCGGGGGAUGAUGGACAGAGGCGUUGGUUCGAGUCCGCAUCAUUGACUUUACUUGUGGUUGUUUUUGUUGUUGUUAAUGUUAAUGUUGAUGUUUUUUUGUUGUUGUUUUUUGGUUUUGUUUUGUUUUUGAGUUGUUUGUUAUUUCAUCGAUUGAAUAAUUUAUCAUAUUUUGAUCCAUAUGUUUUAUUACUUUGUCUCUUUGAUUCAAUGUCUCUUUUUGUGUAUUUAGUUUGUCCCUCUGUUUAACAUCUAGUCGUCUAAUUUAUUGAUCUGCCUAUUUGGGUAUUUUAUGAUUUUUAUAUCUAAAAAUAAUAGCUAUUUGUUGCCAUGUACUUUUUUAUAUAUCAUCAUCUUUAUAUAUCGUAUUUACCUAAAUAUUUAUCCUAAGACAUGAUCUUUAUAACUUUAUUUGUCUUCAUAUUAAAGAGUUUGAUGUU
Long non-coding RNA from Penaeus indicus, 826 nucleotides. RefSeq lists it as uncharacterized. The transcript has 3 exons. The record is from RefSeq and is a predicted model, not a curated record. Lineage: Eukaryota; Metazoa; Arthropoda; Malacostraca; Decapoda; Penaeidae.